AGAACGAACGCUGGCGGCAUGCCUAACACAUGCAAGUCGAACGAGCCUUUCGGGGCUAGUGGCGCACGGGUGCGUAACGCGUGGGAAUCUGCCCUUGGGUUCGGAAUAACAGUUAGAAAUGACUGCUAAUACCGGAUGAUGUCUCCAGAGAGAUUUGGGGACCAAAGAUUUAUCGCCCAGGGAUGAGCCCGCGUAGGAUUAGGUAGUUGGUGGGGUAAUGGCCUACCAAGCCGACGAUCCUUAGCUGGUCUGAGAGGAUGAUCAGCCACACUGGGACUGAGACACGGCCCAGACUCCUACGGGAGGCAGCAGUGGGGAAUAUUGGACAAUGGGCGCAAGCCUGAUCCAGCAAUGCCGCGUGAGUGAUGAAGGCCUUAGGGUUGUAAAGCUCUUUUACCAGGGAUGAUAAUGACAGUACCUGGAGAAUAAGCUCCGGCUAACUCCGUGCCAGCAGCCGC
This 458-nucleotide ribosomal RNA is filed under the name uncultured bacterium. Its description in RNAcentral is "SSU rRNA". It matches the Rfam family "Bacterial small subunit ribosomal RNA", at positions 26 to 518 of the family's 1533-position model. The record is from RNAcentral.